CGAGAAAGCCCGCAAGGGUGAGUAAAGCGGCGCACGGGUGCGUAACACGUGGGUAAUCUGCCCUAGAGUCCGGAAUAACUCGCCGAAAGGCGUGCUAAUGCCGGAUGAGACCACGGGAGCCUCGGCUCCUGCGGGAAAAGGUGGCCUCUGUAUACAAGCUAUCGCUCUAGGAUGAGCCCGCGGCCCAUCAGCUCGUUGGCGGGGUAAUGGCCCACCAAGGCUACGACGGGUAGCUGGUCUGAGAGGACGAUCAGCCACACUGGGACUGAGACACGGUCCAGACUCCUACGGGAGGCAGCAGUGGGGAAUCUUGCGCAAUGGGCGAAAGCCUGACGCAGCAACGCCGCGUGUGUGAUGAAGGUCUUCGGAUCGUAAAGCACUGUCGCGAGGGACG
This 394-nucleotide ribosomal RNA is filed under the name uncultured Anaeromyxobacter sp. RNAcentral describes it as "bacterial SSU rRNA". It matches the Rfam family "Bacterial small subunit ribosomal RNA", at positions 67 to 447 of the family's 1533-position model. The record is from RNAcentral. Lineage: Bacteria; Pseudomonadati; Myxococcota; Myxococcia; Myxococcales; Anaeromyxobacteraceae.